GAGCGAGGGCUCAUUUCCCGCAAGGGAGAUGAGUUCCUAGCGGCGAACGGGCGAGUAACACGUGGGCAACCUUUCCUAUCGCGGGGGAUAACAGCGGGAAACCGCUGCUAAUACCGCAUGUCGUCAUCGGUCGCAUGGCCGGUGAAAAAAGCAGCAAUGCACGAUGGGGUGGGCCCGCGGCCUAUCAGCUAGUCGGUGGGGUAACGGCCUACCGAGGCGAUGACGGGUAGCUGGUCUGAGAGGACGACCAGCCACACGGGGACUGAGACACGGCCCCGACUCCUACGGGAGGCAGCAGUGAGGAAUCUUCCGCAAUGGGCGAAAGCCUGACGGAGCGACGCCGCGUGUGGGAUGAAGUCCUUCGGGAUGUAAACCACUGUUGGAGGGGAAGACAACUGACGGUACCCUCCGAGAAAGCCCCGGCUAACUACGUG
RNAcentral lists this ribosomal RNA (434 nucleotides) under uncultured bacterium. Its description in RNAcentral is "bacterial SSU rRNA". It matches the Rfam family "Bacterial small subunit ribosomal RNA", at positions 64 to 507 of the family's 1533-position model. The record is from RNAcentral.